This is a long non-coding RNA of Etheostoma cragini (Arkansas darter), 759 nucleotides long. RefSeq lists it as uncharacterized. The record is from RefSeq and is a predicted model, not a curated record. The transcript has 3 exons. Lineage: Eukaryota; Metazoa; Chordata; Actinopteri; Perciformes; Percidae.
GAAGGCGACGUUCCGGUCCUACCGGGAGGCAGCAGCCACCGUGAUGGCUUCAAACUGACCAAAUCCACCCAAACUCUCGCUUUGUCCUGCACUCCUCGCAGUGGGGACUUAAUCUCUCAAAAAUGCACACAAAAUUGUCUUCACUGCACAAUCCUAAAAUAACUUGGGCAGCUCAGAGGAUUGUCCUAAUGCCAUUACAUUACUACUGAGCAAGCAGGAGAGUCAGCGAAGGGUUGCGACAGGAGGAGCAGGGACACUUCACCUUAUGACACCAAAGAAUAAUCUUCCCAACUCUGGGCCUCAAAGACAGACUUCAAUGAGGGGACUGCCUUCCCCCAUCCCUCACGCUCCCCUGAAGGCUGCCUGCAGCAGCAUUGGGUUUCACCACAUCUAAGGUAAAUCAACACAAAUGCUCUUUACAUUUUAUCCAUCUUAGGUAUUGUAUCAGAUACUGUUAUAUAAUACAUCUGUUACUAUUCAGGAAUAAUAACAUCCCUCGUUUUGAAGUUGAUGUGCCAAGGGACCAUUUUUUUGGGUCACAUCACAGAGCCGGGAUAUUAAAAACAAGAUCAAAUUCUCAUUUAAUAAAUUGAUAAUACCAAUCAUAAAAUAAAGUCCAUAACAUUUUUCAGAGAUGUAUCCCUUUGAAAGAUAUGGUUAGCUUUAACAUAAAUGGCAAUGUUAGUUACCGUAAAAAAUAUGUUGUUUUAUUAUUUUAUUAAUAAUUAUUAGUAUCCAAUUCAACAUACUGUAUAUUCC